This is an RNA transcript of Spinacia oleracea (spinach), 5929 nucleotides long. RefSeq lists it as uncharacterized. Lineage: Eukaryota; Viridiplantae; Streptophyta; Magnoliopsida; Caryophyllales; Amaranthaceae. The transcript is spliced from 10 exons. The record is from RefSeq and is a predicted model, not a curated record.
CCCACCAUUUGUCCUCCAAAGCCCAAAUUACCCACAAUUUCUCAGCUUUUUGCAAAGCAAAUGUGUUCUUCACAAUUUCACAUAAUCCCAUGUAAAAAGUUAUCGGCGAUGAAAUCAACAUCAACCCAGAUUUUGCAAGAUUUGAUUUUUAUACCUUGUUUGGUAGUCCAAUUCAGGUUUACCAGCAAGAUUUGAUACUCAAAUUUUACAAAUUGAUCUGAUAUUUUCGUUCAAUUUCGUUGCAAUUCAAGGUCCUUCAGAUGAUAAAAAGCUGCUUUUCGUGCAGUUCUUAUAGUCCGUACAUGCUUGAAACCUCCACUGUUAACGAAAUGAGGUUAACCUCUGAGGAAAAAGAGAGAAACUUCAUUCACAACGGAGCAGUUCUUUUGGAAAUGCAGAUUUCAUGUUUUAAAGGAAAGGGUAAAGAGCCAGUUAAAAUAUUCUCAGAAGAGGACAUUAAUCGUGCUACUAAUGGUUAUCAUCCUGGUCAAAUCAUUGGUUGCAAAAUUGCCACUGUUUACAGAGGAAACCUUGAAGAUCGAGUUGUUGCUAUAAAGACCCCUAAAGGCCUUCCUAGCUCAGAUGGAAUGAUUAAGUUCUUCUUGAAUCAGGUCACUAUCAAGCAGCAAAUCAGCCACAAAAAUGUGGUCCGACUCUAUGGUUGUUGUCUAGAGACUCACAUACCCAUGCUCGUCCAUGAGUUUAUGCAUAGUAACCUGUUUGAUCUUUUGCACGGGCCGAGUGGUUCCUGCUGCGUCUCCUGGCAAAAUCGCUUGAGAAUUGCCACUGAAAUCGCAUAUGCACUUUCUUAUAUGCAUUCUGUGGGAUCAAAGCCAAUUGUGCAUAGAAAUGUCAAGUCAGCGAGCAUAUUCUUGGAUGAGUCUUUCUCUGCCAAACUCUCUAAUUUUGGAUUGUCCAUCACUAUUAACCCUGAAGAAACGAAACCUAUUUUCCCACCACAGGGAAGCGUAGGAUACAUCGAUCCAGAGUAUGCAGAGACCUCGGUGGUUACAGAGAAAUGUGAUGUUUAUAGUUUCGGUGUUGUUAUGGUGGAACUGCUAACCGGAAAAGAUCCAGCAAAUAUGUGGAAACAAGGUGGUGAUAUAGUUGAAUAUUUCUUUUCAUAUAUGACGCGAAAUUGUGUGUUAGACGUAGUUGAUCAGAGAUUGUUGCUAGAAGAAAGUGUAAAGUCUACUAUACAACAGUUUGCCGAGUUGAUAAUGAGGUGUGUCCAAAGUAAGGGAGAAAGAAGGCCAACCAUGGAGGAAGUUGUAUUACAGCUUCGGAAAAUGCAGAUAACUUUGAACUUGGUUUCAGAGAGUUAAAUGAGAAGGUUACAACUUCUGGACCAACAAUCUGGAGUAAUGUAAGGCGGAAAAUGCAUGAUACAAGAACCGAUGAGAAAAUGAGAUUUUGAUCUCUUUGAUCAGAUUCAGCAUUUUGUCUCUGUGAAUAUCCUUUGUUUAAAUGAGAAAGGGGGUGACUCAACUUCCUGUAUCUCAUUAUUCUCAUUCCUCACCCUGCACUAUAUCGACCUCUUGAAAGAAUCUUCUCCGACUUCCCACCAGAGCAAUGUUGACGUUGUAAAUCUUGUAAUCAUCUUAGAAAUGGCAGAAAUCUGAUAAGGAUCAGGAGUUUAUAGUUGCUUUUCUAUUAUUGCAUAAGGCGGUAAAUCUAGGUUGAAGGGAUUCAGUAUAAGGAAGAUGAGGAAGAACAGUUAUCAGCUUGGAAGCAUCUUAAUAUACUUAACAGUUAUUGUCCAGUUUUGUUCUUUUAGGAAGAUGGAAUUUUUGAUGCCAGUCACUCCGCAGACGGAAAAGGGAAAUAAUCUUCUUUCGGUGGCUUCAUAAAGUUCGAUUCUCUGCAGGGGCUGAUAAUUGUACAAGCACCAUGCUGGUAAUUAAAUGGAACCUCAAUGAAGAAAAUGGUGGUUGAUCAGAAUCUGUCUCAAACAUCAUCUGCCCCAACUACUGUGUAUGGCUAUGCUUCCCUGCUUUCCCCCUAUAUGACUACAUCUCCUUAGCCAAAGUCAGCUUAAGAAAAAUUCACAGCAAUGAUUAUAGAGAUAAACAGUUAAACACCCUAAGAACCAAUGAUACUUAAAAUAAUGGAAAGUCAACAAAAGACACCUUACCUAAAGUGAAUGCCACAACCCAUAUUCAUUCACAAGAUUCAUAGAAUCUACUUCCUCCGUUCUCAAUUACAUGACACAAUUGGGUUUUUGACACUAUUCACACAAGCUCUGUUGACUUCAUGUUAUGAUUCAUACAUAAGAAAAAAUAUAGUCGUCUUAUUAGAUUCGUCUCAAUAAAUAUUUUUUAAAUAUUAACUUUUUAUAAUCUUUUUCUUAUCCAUAAUGAAAGAUAUUACAAAAGUUGAUAGAAAUGAUUAAAUGAUUAAUUUUAUACAUUAUUAGUGAUUUUGAAUAAAUAAGUUUUACUAAAAUGAAAAAAUUUAUCGCUUAAAAAUAGAUAACUUUUACCUAUAUAAGCUUAACUUUUAAGCAUUUUGAGUUAACUUUUACUUCGGUGUACAAUAUUUGUUGUACACCCAUUGUAAAUAAGAAUUUGUGAAGAUAUUAAUGUUUGAAAUUGUAUAUUGGCAAACGUGCCUAAAAAAAAUAGAGAAAGUAUAUCUACAACCUUUUAAAAGUGUAGAGUUAUACUUCACUAUUCAUGCAAUAGUCCCAUGACCAAAAUACCCUUAUAUACCUUCUAAUUAUCAGUUCUGCCCUUCAUCACACCCAAUGCCACAUUCCUUGACUUAAAGAACUGCUUUCCUCUUCCCAGUGCCUUUCCUCUCGCCCAUGCCUCUCUUCCCCCUCCAUUAUUUUCUCUCUCAAGAUCCGCUCCACCUCCCAUGCCUCUCUUCCCCCUCCAUUAUUUUCUCUCUCAAAACCCUAGCUGCUUCUCCUUUCUCUUGUCUUCUACUUCCGAUCUUCACAUUCAACUCCAUGUUUUGGAGAUCUGAAAUGGACGAGAAGGAAGAAGAGGAACCGAUGUGGAGUAUUUCUCAUGGAUAUAGGAAUUUGUUUAAUUCUUCUAAUCUGAUCUACGAGUACUCUACACAGAAUAAUUCCUUCGAUGUUGGUGUCGGAUUUGACGGCUAGGGUUUUCGAUGAACUUGAUACUACAAUGGCGGCUAGGGUUUUUGAUGAAUCUUCUACUAUAGCUGGUGGUUAAGGGGAAGUUUGGAGUUGUUUGUGUUGUUUUGUUGUUACUUUGAGAAGUCUAAGCUUGAUAUGACUCACCACUGAGGUUUAGUACUUACUCCCCUCUUUUUUAUGGGUAUGAAAUUUUGGUUUAUUGGUGUUAAGAAUUUGAAUAUGUGGAUUUUUCUAUGUUGAAUUGCUUGAGGCUGGCUAUUGUUCUUGGUUUUUAUUUGAUUGUAUGUCGUGUUUUGAUUCUAUUUUGUUUGUUGUUCUAUCACAAAACGGGUACUCCUUCUGAGUCUCCUUUUUCUGGAUUUUCCGAAUUAGGGUUUUGUUUCUUGGGUUUAACUGUUGAUUUUAUUGAAUUAUGGCUGGUUUAAUUGAAUUGUUAAAUUUACUAUUUCAACGUUCCUUUUCCUGCUAUUUUAUUUGAUUUUUGGUUCUUUUCUUGAACAUAAAUUCAAAAUGGUUUCUGAAAGUUUCUCAUGCUCCUCAUGCGGUAAACAAAGUAGAAUGGCAUCUGGCAACAAGUAAAGCUGCACGAAUUUUGUAGAUCAAAGAACAUUCAUCUAUCUGUACGUUGGGAACAAGUCACCGAUCCACUUCACCAGGAAGUUUUCUCAAGCACCGGUAUGAUUGAAGGAUGAAAGCUGAUUCGGAAAGAGAAGUCGUCCUAUGGCUUUGUGGAUUACUAUGAUCGAAGAUCAACUUCUCUUAAUAUUGUCAGUCUUAAUGGACGUCAUCUUUCUGGACAACCUAUCAAAGUUAAUUGGGCAUAUGCGAGCAGUUAAAGAGAGGACACGACGAAUCAUCAUGACGUACUUGUUGGGAAUUUGAGCCUUGAGGUUACAGAUGCUACAUUGUUCGCAUGCUUCUCUCCUUAUCAAACCUGCUCAGAUGCUAGAGUAAUGUGGGAUCGGAAGACUGGGCAUUCCAGGGGUUUUGGGUUUGUUUUAUUAGAAGCUAACAGAGUUGUAAGUUGCCACAAAGUUGGGCGAGGAACCAUCACGAAUGUUCUUUAUGCUAUUAGGCCUGUCGUGUUUAACUUAGUCAUGUAUUUUUUUUUAUGCUUAGCCAUGAUUUCUAUAUAUGUAACCUACAUCAAGUAAUCAGCGGUGUUUGUUUUCAUGCUUUCAACCAUUUCUAUAGAGUAAUUAGGCUUAUGAUUUGUAUUGUGUUCCGAGAAAUAGUUUUUUAUAUCUUGGGGGAACGUGCGCGCUAACAACUAGUGUCAAUAAAAAGGUCAAUGCCGACCUAACUGCUACAAAACCAAACAAACCCAUAUGUAUUCAUAAGAUUUUUUCUUUUUCUUUUUCUUUUUCUUUUUGCAUCGAUAUCUCAAACAUGGAUAUGCUUCUUUUCUUACUACCCAUAUCCAUGUACUCCCUUCGUCCCGGAAUACUCGACCCAUUUUGACCGACACAUAGUUUAAGGGACUUGAAUUGACUUAUUUAUUUUAAUAGGUACUCCGUAAUUAAUUUGUAGGUUGUACGUACUUCCUUAAUUACUUCCUUGUAUAGAACAAUUAAUUCAAUUAAACCAACUUCAACUCGGUAAUAACACUUUACUUUCCUAAACCUAGUACUCCGUGUUGAAAUUGUACGGAGUAUUUGUUAAUAAUUAGUGCAUGUUUAGGAAACUACAGAGUUACGUUUGCUAAUUUAUUAUUAUUUAUAAAAAAUUAAUAUUUAGAAAAUAGGUGCUAUAUUUCCGGAACGGAGGAAAUAUUAUUAUUUGUAAAAAUAUACGUAAAUAUAUUUAAUGUUUGACUAAUUUACAAUUACAAAAUUUUACAAUUAAUCAGAAUAUAUUAACAUAUAUUCUUACAAUUUCAACCAACCGUAUCAGCUCUAGAGAAUAAUACUUGCCUUGAACUGCAAGUUACUGUCCGACAACAGAAAAAAUAGGCAAGUUCUAUUUUGAUUAGGAAUUGGAUCCACAUAACUUCAAUCCAAACAUAUAAAUACACCACACGGUAGUAAUCAUCAAAUAACAAUACAUGAAAACAAUACAUACUCUAGAAUCUAGAUCAAUUAGUCAAGUUCUAUUUUGAUUAGGAAUUGGAUCCACACAACUUCAAUCCAAACCUAUAAAAACCUCACACGGUAGUAGUAAUCAUCAAAUAACAAUUCAAGAAAACAAACAAGAAAUUAAUACUUCACUCGAUCAAUUAGAAAAUUGAAGAAGAUGGAGAACACCAACAACAACAACAACAACAACAACAACAACAACAACAACAACACAAUUGAUAAUGUUCAACGCCAACUAGCAUCAAACUCUGCAACGAAGAAUGGAUGUGGUUUCUUUGGUAAACCGGCCGCGACUGAAGAGUUGUUCGGUAGAGCUAUUGAGACGGAAGUGAAGCGAUAUGACGGUAUAGUUAGUCCGUUUUGGGAGGCAAUAUUUCGUGAAAAUAGUGCAAGAAAGAAGCACGUACGUGUUAUUUCUAAAGUCAAUAUGGAUCACGAAACUACUAAAAACCGGUGUGAUUCCUGCAAGAAACGGAUCAAGUUGAUCGGAUUCAAGUGCAAGUGCGACGGAAUCUAUUGCGGGUCUCACCGCUACCCGGAGGUGCAUUCUUGUAAGUUCGAUCAUAAGGAGGUUGGACGUCACGCGCUUUCUAAAACAUUGUACGCAUCUGCUUGUAAGGCUGCCAAGAUUAAUUACUUGUAAAAUUAUUGCAACUUUUUUUUUAUUCAAAGAUAUAUACAACAUAUUUGUACAGUAUUAUUUGUUAAUUUGGUUCUUUUUAUGAUCAAUGAUACUUGUUUUUGGUUA